RNAcentral lists this ribosomal RNA (253 nucleotides) under uncultured bacterium. Its description in RNAcentral is "partial 16S ribosomal RNA". It matches the Rfam family "Bacterial small subunit ribosomal RNA", at positions 524 to 776 of the family's 1533-position model. The record is from RNAcentral.
UACGAAGGGGGCUAGCGUUGUUCGGAAUUACUGGGCGUAAAGCGCGUGUAGGUGGAAUGGUGAGCAAGAGGUGAAAUCCCAGAGCUCAACUUUGGAAUUGCCUUUUGAACUAUCAUUCUGGAGUAUUGGAGGGGAGUGCGGAAUUCCUAAUGUAGAGGUGAAAUUCGUAGAUAUUAGGAGGACCACCGGUGGCGAAGGCGGCACUCUGGACAAUAACUGACACUGCGACGCGAAAGCGUGGGGAGCAAACAGG